This 2284-nucleotide long non-coding RNA is filed under the name Cercocebus atys (sooty mangabey). Its description in RNAcentral is "lncRNA (ENSCATG00000045872.1)". The record is from RNAcentral. Lineage: Eukaryota; Metazoa; Chordata; Mammalia; Primates; Cercopithecidae.
CUUAUAUAUUUUCAUGUCUUCCUCAAGAUUUUGAACAGCAUCUCUUCAAAACAGUCUGAAUGAAAAUAUCUCUUAAUUUAUACUUUUCUUUUUAUUUGCCAUGUUCCUUCUAGACUUCAACAAAAAAGUAAAAUGGAUUUUAUCAUACUUGGAAAACCAACAAUUGCAGUCUGGAUUCAAGCAUCACUGUUUGAUGCACCCAACUUGAGUCAAAAAGAUGCUUCAAAUCCCACUAGGCUGGAGAUGGAGCCAGAUUGAGAAAAACCAACCAACCAACCAACCAACGAACAGCAUGAUGGCUGAACCAGACAAGAGAAGUCCUGAAGAAAAAUACUUAUCAAUUACCAGAAUCUGUGCCUGCCAUACAUCAAAGGUAUUGUAUCCAUGACAGCAUGCUGCUUUUUGUGGUGUUUUGAUUGACGUCACAAUUUCUUAGCAGUCCUUCCACAGCCAUUCUGAGAUAGCAUCGAGAAAUCAAUGAAACUUCAGAAUAGGAAGUAUUUGUGUCUAUAGACUAAUGUGGCACAUUCCAUCUUGGAAAAUGUAAUCCUUAUAGGAAGAUAGAAAGAAUCUUGGUAGCAGUAUAUGCUGGGAAUAUACUCAGCGAUUUCCCAUGUAUUUUCUAGAUUUAGGAAAUCAUAAAUCAAGAGAAGAAUGUGGGAGGUGCUGGCACCUUAGUGGAGGGAAGUUGUCUCAAGCAAACAGCUACACAGAAAUGAGGAAUUGGGCUUUUUAGCCAUGACUUACAGCUGCCAGUCCAAAUUGUAUAAAAUCAGAAAAAUAUAUUAAAAAGUAUCAACUCCCAUUGAACCUAUGCUUUGCAAAAGUAUAUUUGAUAUUCAUCUAUUUUGAUUCCUGAAAUAAUCCUAAACUAGGUAUGGUGGAUGUUAUCCUACAAAUGAAGAUGCUAAGGCCCAAGGGGGUUAAUGUCGUGCUUAGUUUUUAAGAAAAGAGUGGAAAUCCUGUGUACUUACUCAAACCCAGUUAUCUUUCCACGAUGUUUUAAACUGACAAACCAAUAACAAGAAAGAUGAACAAAGGGUUAAACUCAAACUCACCAGAAAUAUUUGGAGUCCAAAACAGAGUGAAUGGUGGUGGAUGCUGUCUUGUAAUUGUAAUCUGUAUGUCAAAAUAAGACAAUCCUGUUGAAAGAAUUAACUUGAAAGUGGAAAGCAUGGGCAAAAUGAGGAAGUUGUAAAAAAUGGUGCUAUACAAUAGCUUUUGUUGUUGUUGUCACUAGUAGUGGCAUUCCUUGUUUUUUAACUUUUCGAAAUAUAUGGGUAACAUAACACUUAUUCUUGAAUUCGUCACAUUCUUUUAAAACAAUUAUUUACUGUCUCUCAUUUCUCUUGUGCCUUUAAAAAAUUUUAUAUUUUCCUUGCUUCCAAGGUGUCUCUAUAUCCGUAAUCAGAAACUCCCAAACUUUGCUGUAGGUUUUGAUGGGACACCUGUAAUUAACUCCCAGCAAUGAUUGCCUAAUUUAAAUUAUAAACCCCUGGGACAAGCUCUGGGUCUAAUUUUUCAUUCUGUAGCCUACUUUGAACAAACUUUCAGAACACCAAGCCUGGCUGUGGUCCUCUCUCUCCUGUCUGCCUUUAUGUGCUGGUCCUCUUGUCCAUAAAACACUCUGAAUGGAAAUUAAGGCUAUAGCAAACCAAGUGAGCAUAGAGACUUAUUAACAGAGAACCUGAUUUCAUCUCUCUGCUUCAACUCCUUAGUCUCUGACUUCUUUAUCCCACAUGACUCUGCAAACCUAUGUCUGAACUUACAUUCUCCUGAAACCGGAACGGAUGAAACUCAUUAGGUAAUGCCAGCGCUCUUACUGAUCUUCACCUCAAACCUCAGGAAACAAAGCCAGGCAUGAUAUCCUCAGCUUUUAUGUUCUUCCUUCUUUUGCUUAGGCCUGAAAGUUGCAGAUAGGAUGCAUCUAAAAUUGGAGUUUAGGAGGCAUAGUUUUUCAAAGGGUUUUUACUGGGCAGGAAAUGCCAUAUCCUAAAGGGUAGCAGUGUGUUCCUAUAGCUGGUACAGACAUCUGAAGUAAUUUAAAACCAACAUGAAUGAUAACCACAUUUUUGGCUUAUAAAUUUAAAACCAAGAAGAAGGAGUGGGCAAUGAUCAGGAUUCCAUAUUCAUUGUAGGGGAGCAAUUAAAACAUAGAUAAUUCAGUAUCUUUUGGACUUUGUUGGCUAACCAACAGUAUAAUAAAUCACAAAAAUUAUUAUUUCAAUGAUUUAAAUAGAUAACUGCAGCUACAACUUCUGAAAUGUUGAAUGGAUAAAUGAGG